This 264-nucleotide ribosomal RNA is filed under the name uncultured bacterium. RNAcentral describes it as "partial 16S ribosomal RNA". It matches the Rfam family "Bacterial small subunit ribosomal RNA", at positions 90 to 354 of the family's 1533-position model. The record is from RNAcentral.
ACUGAGCGGCGGACGGGUGAGUAACGCGUGGGCAACCUGCCUUACACAGGGGGAUAACAGUUAGAAAUGACUGCUAAUACCGCAUAAGACCACAAAACCGCAUGGUUUGGUGGUAAAAACUCCGGUGGUGUAAGAUGGGCCCGCGUCUGAUUAGGUAGUUGGUGGGGUAACGGCCUACCAAGCCGACGAUCAGUAGCCGACCUGAGAGGGUGACCGGCCACAUUGGGACUGAGACACGGCCCAGACUCCUACGGAAGGCAGCAG